GAUGAACGCUGGCGGCGUGCCUAAUUCAUGCAAGUCGAGCGAACAGACGAGGAGCUUGCUCCUCUUACGUUAGCGGCGGACGGGUGAGUAACACGUGGAUAACCUACCUAUAAGACUGGGAUAACUUCGGGAAACCGGAGCUAAUACCGGAUAAUAUAUUGAACCGCAUUGUUCAAUAGUGAAAGACGGUUUUGCUGUCACUUAUAGAUGGAUCCGCGCCGCAUUAGCUAGUUGGUAAGGUAACAGCUUACCAAGGCGACGAUGCGUAGCCGACCUGAGAGGGUGAUCGGCCACACUGGAACUGAGACACGGUCCAGACUCCUACGGGAGGCAGCAGUAGGGAAUCUUCCGCAAUGGGCGAAAGCCUGACGGAGCAACGCCGCGUGAGUGAUGAAGGUCUUCGGAUCGUAAAACUCUGUUAUUAGGGAAGAACAAAUGUGUAAGUAACUAUGCACGUCUUGACGGUACCUAAUCAGAAAGCCACGGCUAACUACGUG
RNAcentral lists this ribosomal RNA (497 nucleotides) under uncultured bacterium. RNAcentral's name for it is "partial 16S ribosomal RNA". It matches the Rfam family "Bacterial small subunit ribosomal RNA", at positions 28 to 507 of the family's 1533-position model. The record is from RNAcentral.